Gorilla gorilla gorilla (western lowland gorilla) is the source of this 1175-nucleotide long non-coding RNA. RefSeq lists it as uncharacterized. NCBI's taxonomy places the organism in Eukaryota, Metazoa, Chordata, Mammalia, Primates, Hominidae. The transcript is spliced from 4 exons. The record is from RefSeq and is a predicted model, not a curated record.
AAACAAAAAAGGAAGGCCAAAGAGAGAUUCCGUGAUUUUUUUUUUUUUUAGAGGUCGCUUAAAUCCCAACGCUAGACCCGGUGGCAAUCAAGGUCUAGCCACCAGGUCUAGCAUUGGGAUUUAAGCCCAGCUUUCCUCUGCAAAACUCAUAGCCAUCCAAGUUAAUAUAACUAUUGCACAGUUGAUGAGAGAGUCAAGUUUCACCACCCUCAAAACACCUUUAAGGCCUUGCAUUCAUGAUUAAUUCAAUAUAUUCAUCGUCUUAUUUAAAUCCUUGAACAAACCUUUUCAAUACAUAUCAUUAACUUCAUCAACUGAUGAAUACGUCACGUCCCAACCCCCGUGGGAACGCUGGGAGCCUGCACUCCUCCCUCAGACCUUUGAUUUGCCCAAGGUCUGAGUUGACAGGUGGCAAAGUCAGGAUGUAAACCAACGUGGUUUAACUCCAAGAACAAUAGAGGUAGACUAUGGGUCUCCUAAAACAAAGUCCUUCCCUAUACCUCCAAUACCAGAGUUGAAAGGAUUUCAUGUGUAAUUGGUUGUGCCAGUUUUCCAGGAAGAGGAUUACAUCCAAAACAACGGAUAAUCUAUGUCUGACAUUGGGCUUUGGAAUGACUUUUUUUUUUUUUUUUUUUUUAAGACAGAGUCUCACCCUGUCACCCAGGCUGGAGUGCAGAGGCGCGAUCUCGGCUCACUGCAACCUCCGCCUCCCGGUUAAAGUGAUUCUUCUGCCUCAGCCUCCCGAGUAGCUGGGACUACAGAGACAAGGUCUGACUCUGUGCAGUGGAGUGCAGUGGCUCAAUCAUAGCUCACUCCAGCCUCAGACUCCUGGGCUGAAGUGAUCCUCCCACCUCAAACUCCUGAAUAGCUGGGACUACAGGCAACAAGCUCUGCCAAUUUUUUCUUCGAAGAGUUUUGUUCCAAGCUGGGAGCCGUGGCUCAUGCCUGUCAUCCCAGCACUUUGGGAGGCCAAGCUGGGCAUGGUGGCAUGUGCCUGUGGUUCCAGUUACUUGGGAAGCUGAAGUGGGAGGAUCGCUUGAGCCCAGGAGGUCAAGGCUACAGUGAGCUGUGAUGGUGUCAUUGCAUUCCAGCACUCCAGCCCGGGCAUCAGAGUUAGACCUUGUCUUAAAAAAUAAAUAAAUGAAUAAAUAUAAAUAAAAAAUAAAAAGCUUUUA